Long non-coding RNA from Trichomycterus rosablanca, 692 nucleotides. RefSeq lists it as uncharacterized. The transcript has 5 exons. The record is from RefSeq and is a predicted model, not a curated record. Lineage: Eukaryota; Metazoa; Chordata; Actinopteri; Siluriformes; Trichomycteridae.
AAAUUCUAGUUGGUAUUUGGAGGUUUUGAGGUUUUGGUGUGAUUUUUUGGAUACCUGGUCUACAAGGUUUUGGAGCCUCUGUAAUCAUUGGAGACACCCCCGCGCCAUCGGUCUAUGAUGACGUCACUGGCAGCCAGACCUCGACAGUAUCACACAUCAGGUCACUGUGGAAGUGAUUAUUUGGGCGAAAGGCAGGAAACACCCCGGACAGGUCGCCAGUCCAUCACAAGGCUCACACACACACUCAGGUCAGAUUGUCAGUCGCUCCAGUCUUUGGACUUGCUGGAGAAAACUGGAGCACCCAGAGGAAACCCUCGCGGACAUUCAGACUUCACACGAAAGGAAAUCAGACCCAGUGGAAGCAGCGGAUUGUCAAGACCGAUAAGUCCAGAAAGAGGACAGCCAGACAGAGACCAGGUCCAUAAUGAGCACACAGAGACCAAAGACAACAAAGACAGAGGUCAAUCCACAUGUUAGAAAAACAUGCAACAGCCCUCCAGAAUGCUGCGGAGUUAACGUGGCAGGAAUAAAACAAACAGCGUAACAAGUUCUGUCCUGUAAAAUAAACUUAAUAGUGCUAGGGUGAUGCGGUGGUCUAACGCACUAGCCCACCACCACUAAGGCUCGACUCUGGAGUUCCAGUGUGGGUUAGGAUCUGGUGACUGGAAUCUUUUUUUCCCACUACAUGAAAA